CGAAGGGGCUAGCGUUGCUCGGAAUCAUUGGGCGUAAAGGGCGCGUAGGCGGCUCGGCUAGUCGGGCGUGAAAACCCCCGGGCUCAACCCGGGGACGGCGUUUGAUACGGCCGGGCUAGAGGGUGGAAGAGGGCCGCGGAAUUCCCAGUGUAGAGGUGAAAUUCGUAGAUAUUGGGAAGAACACCGGUGGCGAAGGCGGCGGCCUGGUCCAUUACUGACGCUGAGGCGCGACAGCGUGGGGAGCAAACAGGAUU
This 254-nucleotide ribosomal RNA is filed under the name uncultured bacterium. RNAcentral describes it as "partial 16S ribosomal RNA". It matches the Rfam family "Bacterial small subunit ribosomal RNA", at positions 527 to 779 of the family's 1533-position model. The record is from RNAcentral.